This 481-nucleotide ribosomal RNA is filed under the name Indoplanorbis exustus. Its description in RNAcentral is "partial large subunit ribosomal RNA". It matches the Rfam family "Bacterial large subunit ribosomal RNA", at positions 1797 to 2620 of the family's 2925-position model. The record is from RNAcentral. Lineage: Eukaryota; Metazoa; Mollusca; Gastropoda; Planorbidae.
CGCCUGUUUAUCAAAAACAUAGUUUAGUGAAUAUAAAUACUAAAUUAAUUCUGCCCAGUGUACACAUUAUAAAUGGCCGCAGUACCCUGACUGUGCUAAGGUAGCAUAAUCAAUUGGCUUUUAAUUGAAGUCUGGAAUGAAAGAAUAAAUGAAGUUAUUCUCUCUUAAAAGUACUAUUAAAAAGUUAUUCAUUAGGUGAAAAUACCUAAAUUUAAAUAAAAGACGAGAAGACCCUAAGAGUUUUUAAUAAAAAUAAUGUAUAUUAUUUAUUUUUUUGUUGGGGCGACAGUUUAGCAUUUUAAACCUAAUUUUUGUACAAGGCGAUUAUUUUAAGAAAGAAAAAACUACCUUAGGGAUAACAGCAUAAUUUUUAAAAAAGUUUGUGACCUCGAUGUUGGACUAGGAACUUUAUGGCUAGCAGUCAAAAAAGAUUUAUUCUGUUCGAAUAAUUUUAUCCUACGUGAUCUGAGUUCAGACCGGG